This 468-nucleotide ribosomal RNA is filed under the name uncultured bacterium. RNAcentral's name for it is "partial 16S ribosomal RNA". It matches the Rfam family "Bacterial small subunit ribosomal RNA", at positions 28 to 507 of the family's 1533-position model. The record is from RNAcentral.
GACGAACGCUGGCGGCGUGCUUAACACAUGCAGGUCGAACGGAAAGGCCCUGCUUUUGUGGGGUGCUCGAGUGGCGAACGGGUGAGUAACACGUGAGUAACCUGCCCUUGACUUUGGGAUAACUUCAGGAAACUGGGGCUAAUACCGGAUAGGAGCUCCUGCUGCAUGGUGGGGGUUGGAAAGUUUCGGCGGUUGGGGAUGGACUCGCGGCUUAUCAGCUUGUUGGUGGGGUAGUGGCUUACCAAGGCUUUGACGGGUAGCCGGCCUGAGAGGGUGACCGGCCACAUUGGGACUGAGAUACGGCCCAGACUCCUACGGGAGGCAGCAGUGGGGAAUAUUGCACAAUGGGCGGAAGCCUGAUGCAGCAACGCCGCGUGCGGGAUGACGGCCUUCGGGUUGUAAACCGCUUUCGCCUGUGACGAAGCGUGAGUGACAGUAAUGGGUAAAGAAGCACCGGCUAACUACGUG